This 1775-nucleotide ribosomal RNA is filed under the name Nicotiana tabacum (common tobacco). Its description in RNAcentral is "bacterial SSU rRNA". It matches the Rfam family "Bacterial small subunit ribosomal RNA". The record is from RNAcentral. Lineage: Eukaryota; Viridiplantae; Streptophyta; Magnoliopsida; Solanales; Solanaceae.
AAAGUUUGAUCCUGGCUCAGAAGGAACGCUAGCUAUAUGCUUAACACGUGCAAGUCGAACAUUGUUUUCGGGGAGCUGGGCAGAAGGAAAAGAGGCUCCUAGCUAAUGGUAGCUUGUCUCGCCCAAGAGGUGAGAAGAGUUGAGAACAAACUGGCGAACGAGUGCGUAACACAUGGGAAUCUGCCGAACAGUUCGGGCCAAAUCUUGAAGAAAGCUAAAAAGCAUUAUUUGAUUAGCCUGCGUAGUAUUAGGUAGUUAUUCUGGUAAAGGCUGACCAAGCCAAUGAUGCUUAGCUGGUCUUUUCGGAUGAUCAGCCACACUGGGACUGAGACACGACCUAGACUCCUAUGGGGGCAGCAGUGGGGAAUCUUGGACAAUGGGAGAAAGCCCGAUCCAGCAAUAUCGCGUGAGUAAAGAAGGGCAAUGCCUCUUGUAAAGCUCUUUCGUCGGGUGUGCGAUUAUGAUAGGACUCGAGGAAGAAACCCCGGCUAACUCUGUGCCAGCGGCCACUGUAAGAUGGAAGGGGGGGCAAGUGUUCUUCGGGAUGACUGGGCGUAAAGGGCACGGAGGCGGUGAAUCGGGUUGAAAGUGAAAGUAGCCAAAAACUGGCGGAAUGCUCUCGAAACCAAUUCACAUGAGUGAGACAAAGGAGAGUGGAAUUUCUUGAGUAGGGGUGAAAUCCGGAGGUACGAAAGCAUGGGGAGCGGACAAGAUUAGUCUAUGCGGAUAAGGGGCCUUGCUAACGCGUGAAACACUCCGGCUAGGGAGUACGGUCGCAAGACCGAAACUCAAAAAAAUUGACGGGGCAUGCACAAGCGGUGGAGCAUGUGGUUUAAUUUGAUAAAAUGCACAAAACCUUACCAGCCCUUGACAUAUGAUCAAGAAAACAUGUCCUUAAUGGGAUGGUACUGACUUUCAUGCAGGUGUUGCAUGGCGGUCGUCAGCUCGUGUCAUGAGAUGUUUGGUCAAGUCCUAUAACGAGUGAAUACUUUAUUUUGUGUUGCUGAUGCAUGCGCCUAAGGAGAAAGUCUUCCCAACCGAAGUGAACCGAGGAGCGGAGUGACAUGCCAGCGCUAAUAAUUGAGUGCCAGCACCUAGCUAUGCUGUCAGUAAGAAGGUAGUCGGCGCCUUUCGAAGCACUUUCUAUUUCUAGAUAGAAAGGGCCUUUCUCGCUUGUUUAGUACAAUCAUGUUUUUGGCCUUAUCUUGUAGGUGACGAUGACAUCGAGUUGACGGCAUAAAAAUACUCGGCAUUCAGGCGAGCCACCCAGUGGUGUGGUACGUAGUGGGUUUAAUACGCCCCACCGAAACAAACGGCUCCGAAACAAACAAAAAGGUGUGUGCCGCACUCACGAAGGACUGCCAGUGAUAUACUUGAGGAAGGUGGGGAUGACGUCAAGUCCGCAUGGCCCUUAUGGGCUAGGCCACACACUUGCUACAAUGGUGUUUACAAUAGGAAGCAAGGCUGUAAGGUGGAGCGAAUUCGGAAAGAUCGCCUCAGUUCGGAUUGUUCUCUGCAACUUGGGAACAUGAAGUUGGAAUCGCUAGUAAUCGCAGAUCAACAUGUCUUGGUGAAUAUGUACCCGGGCCCUGUACACACCGCCCGUCACACCCUGGGACUUUGUUUCGCCCGAAACAUCGGACCAAUGAUCACCCAUGACUUUUGUGGCACACUAGUGCCACAAAUGCCUUUGGUGGUCUUAUUGGCGCAUACCACGGUGGGUUUUUGACUAGGGUGAAUUUGUAACAAGGUAUACGUAGGGUAACCUGUGGUUG